UAAGUAGGUAGUGAAAUCUGACGGCUCAACCGUACAGGCUAUUACCUAAACUGGCAAACUCGAGAGUAGUAGAGGUAACUGGAAUUUCUUGUGUAGAAGUGAAAUCCGUAGAUAUAAGAAGGAACACCAAUGGCGUAGGCAGGUUACUGGGCUAUCUCUGACACUGAGGCACGAAAGCGUGGGGAGCGAACGGGAUUAGAUACCCCGGUAGUCCACGCCGUAAACGAUGGAUACUA
Molecule: ribosomal RNA, 236 nt
Filed under: uncultured Candidatus Saccharibacteria bacterium
Lineage: Bacteria; Candidatus Saccharimonadota
Description: partial 16S ribosomal RNA
Rfam family: Bacterial small subunit ribosomal RNA
Source: RNAcentral